RNAcentral lists this ribosomal RNA (468 nucleotides) under uncultured bacterium. RNAcentral's name for it is "partial 16S ribosomal RNA". It matches the Rfam family "Bacterial small subunit ribosomal RNA", at positions 28 to 507 of the family's 1533-position model. The record is from RNAcentral.
GACGAACGCUGGCGGCGUGCUUAACACAUGCCAGUCGAACGGAAAGGCCCUGCUUUUGUGGGGUGCUCGAGUGGCGAACGGGUGAGUAACACGUGAGUAACCUGCCCUUGACUUUGGGAUAACUUCAGGAAACUGGGGCUAAUACCGGAUAGGAGCUCCUGCUGCAUGGUGGGGGUUGGAAAGUUUCGGCGGUUGGGGAUGGACUCGCGGCUUAUCAGCUUGUUGGUGGGGUAGUGGCUUACCAAGGCUUUGACGGGUAGCCGGCCUGAGAGGGUGACCGGCGACAUUGGGACUGAGGUACGGCCCAGACUCCUACGGGAGGCAGCAGUGGGGAAUAUUGCACAAUGGGCGGAAGCCUGAUGCAGCAACGCCGCGUGCGGGAUGACGGCCUUCGGGUUGUAAACCGCUUUCGCCUGUGACGAAGCGUGAGUGACGGUAAUGGGUAAAGAAGCACCGGCUAACUACGUG